UACGGAGGAUCCGAGCGUUAUCCGGAUUUAUUGGGUUUAAAGGGUGCGCAGGCGGGAUGUUAAGUCGGCGGUGAAAUUUUGCAGCUCAACUGUAAAAGUGCCUUCGAUACUGGCUUUCUUGAGUGUGGAUGAAGUAGGCGGAAUUUGUGGUGUAGCGGUGAAAUGCUUAGAUAUCACGAGGAACUCCGAUUGCGCAGGCAGCUUACUAAACCACUACUGACGCUCAUGCACGAAGGCGUGGGGAUCUAACAGGAUUAGAUA
RNAcentral lists this ribosomal RNA (261 nucleotides) under uncultured prokaryote. RNAcentral describes it as "partial 16S ribosomal RNA". It matches the Rfam family "Bacterial small subunit ribosomal RNA", at positions 524 to 784 of the family's 1533-position model. The record is from RNAcentral.